CUGGGCUGGGCUGGGCUGGGCUGGGCUGGGCUGGGGCUGCAGCCCUCCUCCUCCGCCCCCGCGCUCUUCCUGCUCU
This 76-nucleotide microRNA precursor is filed under the name Vicugna pacos (alpaca). Its description in RNAcentral is "miRNA (ENSVPAG00000016751.1)". Lineage: Eukaryota; Metazoa; Chordata; Mammalia; Artiodactyla; Camelidae. The record is from RNAcentral.